ACUAUUUCCACAAGGACUCUCUCCUUGCUGACUUUCUACUUGCUUGCCAUUCAUAUGCCAUGUCUCUUCCACAGAGUGUUCAGAGUGCUGCUGCUCAUCUAACUCAUAACCUCUUAUUUCUCUCAUGGUACUACCCAACUCGAGUCACCUCUCAAGCUUCCUUCAUAAGCAGCUCUUGUCCAAAACCCUUGUUCCUGCAUUCCAGGCCUCAAUAGAUUAUGCAGCACAAAAUACUGUUCACAUGGACCAAUUUCAGGUUAUGAUACUUUAGACAUUCUCCAAGCAGUGAACUCAGUUGGUUGUACUUUUUUAACUCCCACUGGAUGAGGGUCUACCUAAGUACUAAAUGCUAACGUAAAUAGAAAAUGUCCAACUGCAAGUAAGAAAAGACACAACAGUAAUGCAGUGACUCAUCAUAUAACAUCAUAUAAUAAGGUCUAAGUACUCACAGUAGAGUCACUUAUUCAAAGGGAGGAGGCUAUUGUUUCUCAGGAUGAACACUAAUGAUAUUAACUUGCCAUUACCAGAUAAUUAUAGUAGUAAUGCUGGGAACACUCUCAGACCCUUGUAGCUGGACAGAUGGAUGGAUUGAAGGAGGAAUGGAUGGAUGCAGAGAUAAUGAAGAGAUUAAUUCACAAAUGACAUUACAGCUACUUAGACAUGGAUGGAUGGAUGGACGGAUGGACUGAUGGAUGUAUGGAUAAUAUAUACAGGGUGUCCCAAAAGUCUCCAUACAUAGGGGAAAUGAACACUUUUUACCAAACUGUAACACACAUGGAGUUGUCUCUCCCACUCAUGAUGUUAACACAUUUAUUGUUAACACAUCUAGUGUUAUGCAUGCAAUUGCAUGUCCAUCGCAGCCUUGCAACAGCUUUCUGAUCCAACCAUUAGAAUGAUUUCAAUAAGUUAUUUUGUCAAAGUCAUUUUAAAGACUAUCUGUAAAAAAAAACAAAGUUAUUUAUAUAUAUAUAUAUUUUCCUAAAAAUUAUACAUAGUAUAAUUAAUAA
This is a long non-coding RNA of Ictalurus punctatus (channel catfish), 1007 nucleotides long. The record is from Ensembl. Lineage: Eukaryota; Metazoa; Chordata; Actinopteri; Siluriformes; Ictaluridae.